Canis lupus familiaris (dog) is the source of this 4952-nucleotide long non-coding RNA. RefSeq lists it as uncharacterized. The record is from RefSeq and is a predicted model, not a curated record. NCBI's taxonomy places the organism in Eukaryota, Metazoa, Chordata, Mammalia, Carnivora, Canidae. The transcript has 3 exons.
AGGGAGAAGCAGGCUCCAUGCAGGGAGCCCGAUCCCGGGUCUCCAGGAUCACACCCUGGGCUGAAGGCGGUGCUAAACCGCUAAGCCACCCGGGCUGCCCUUUAAUCUCGUUUUAAUGAUUUGACUUGCACGACUAAAAACCUCUAGCUGUGUUUUUCCAGUUAACCCCAGAUUUUUAGAUCCCACAUAGCACCAGUUUCUAAACAAUUAAACAAGAGGAAAGUAAGUUGUUCUAGGCCCAAUUCUUUCCAUUUUAGAGACCUGGCUAAGUCCAAAGAAUGAUUUCCAACAGUGUCUAAAUAUGUCUGUCAUAACAUGUGUCUGUGUCACUCAGAGCAAAUGUUAUCUGUAUCUAAUAUUUCUUGUUCUUUCAUUAUUCAAAUUUGUUUAAAAAUAUCUUUGUGCUUUUAUACUUUGUGACAGCAUCAGCAGUUAAUAUUUAAACUGUUCCUUUUAAAAACAAAAAAAAAAUUUUUUUGAGAGAGAACAAACACAAGGGGGGGGGGGACAGAAGGAGAGGGAGAGGAUCUCAAGCAGGCUCUACGCUCAGCACAAAACCUGACACGGGACUGGAUCCCAGAACCCUGAGACUGUGACCUGAGCUGAAACCAAGAGUCAGAUGCUUACCCAACAAACCACCCAAGCACCCCUGAACUGUUCUCAAAUAGCAUGGUAAGGUGCCUUCCUACAUGUUUUCAUGUAUGUUGAUAGCCACUAUGCCCAUCUUAUAGAUAUAUUUUCUCAUUUGUGAUUAGAGUUGCUGUUCUCUUCUUGAAGAGAAAAGUGCAGGCAAAGGCCCCUUGUGGCAAGAGAGUCCUGGGGUGGAUAUUUUCUCUCCCCUAAUAAGUGGUGGUACAAAAGCCAAUUCUGAAUCUGAUCCUUUUUCUUUUUCUUUUUUAUUUUUUCUUUUUAUUUUUUUUAUUGGAGUUCAAUUUGCCAACAUAUAGCAUAUCACCCAGUGUUCAUCCUGUUAAGUGCCCCCUUAGUGCCCAUCACCCAGUCUGAUCCUUUUUCUAUGUGCUUUUCUACAAUUAGAGAGGAGUAGAAAGGCUUUCAGUGGUACAGUUUUUCAAUCCCUUCUGCUUUUCUCAGCUGCUUUUUCUGGCUCUGCUCUUUUGGGGAAAAAAAAAAAAAAAACUACUCUGUUUCUCACUCCACUCCCUCUACCACCACCCUCAAGUCAGAGUCCUCCUCCCAUCCCAGCUAAACCUCUUCCUGUUCUUAAGAAUUGCAUCACAUUCUUGGCUUAAUGUAGACCAACACCCCCACACUGGCACCAGAGAGUGUACAGGCCUUCUUUAUUGGUUGAAAGUCCUUGUCUGGUGAGCAUGGAAUAAGUUACCCACUUCCUGACUUCCAGCCCUGGCUGAGUUUGCUUCUGGAAAAGAACAUCUUCCUUGGAUUUUUGUUUGUUUGUUUAUAAAUACCCUUUACUUCAGCCCUAUCCUGGAAUGAGCAAGAUUUUACCACAUAGAUAAAGUGUGGAAGGGCAUUUGAGGGAGAGGGAAUAGUCUGCACACCUUGCUGUUUCUAAUUCUUCGCUUGCUCCACUCUUGUAAACCCAGACUAAUCUGGCAUUGACUCUCACACUAUGGAAGGGGCUUUCUUUAAGGACGGUAAUGCCCCCCAUGACUAAAUUUGGUGGGUAUAUCAGUCUUCCUCUUACCUGACAAUGAGCAGAAACUGACACCAUUAACCUCCUUGAUAGACUCACUACCUUCCUGUGGAUUCCAUGCACUAUUAUUUUUUUCUUACCUUCCUCAUGGAUCUUAGGCAUCCUUUGAAAGCUCUUCUUUCAUAGAGAGAGAAGACUCCUGAGGUGUCGAUGUUCCUCAGGGUCCUGUCCUAUGUCAGCCUGUCUUCCCCCUCUAUACGUUUUCUGAGAAAUCUCUCUUCCGCAGCUUUAUGAAUUUUUUAAGCCAGUGACUUCUAAAUAUCUAUCUCUCCUGAACUCCAGACUAAUAUAACAACUGUCUUCUAGAACUGCUCCGGUUGGAUAUUCCUGAAGCCAUGUUAAUCAACUCACUUCUCUAGACUAUUCCUCUUCUACUCUUCCUUUUCCUAACAUAUGCCACAACAUCCACCCUAUUGUUCUAGACAGAAACCCAGGAUUCAUCUUUGACUUCUGUGCACAGUCUCUCUUUUCGAUCAAUAACCAAGUCUAGUAAAAUCUUUUUCUUUGAAAACACCCGCUUAUUCUUCUCCUCCCCUGGCCUAAGCAAUGACCUCUGGGCUUUUGCAAGUCUUUACUAGUUUCCUGCCUCUAGUUUUUCUCCCCUGGGUCAUUUUCCACCAGCUACCAGAAAGUUUUGUUUUGUUUUGUUUUAAUAAAUGCAAUUCUGAUGAAUUCACCUCCUGCAUUUAAAAUCAUUUCAUUGCUUCCCUGUAUUCUUGGGCUAGAGUCCGAAUGUCUUAGCAUGGCUCAUAAACACUCUGCAAUCAGCAACCUGCCUACCAUUGUCUGCACCUCACACAUACUGGAUUCGUGUGUUGCAAACACAUCCUGCUUUCUCUUGUUUCUAGGGCUUCACAAAUGCUGGUUCCUUCACAUGGAGCAAACACUGUAUCGUAGGACCUCAAACAUGUCUGGUCUAAAGUCUACCUCCAGAUUGUCAUUUGUCUUACUCCUGAAUCAGAACUGAAUUUGAAUACUUAGUUUUUAAUUAAUUCUUGAAUUAAAGCCACAGUGAACCUUAGCUCACCCUAUUUCUUAUUUCUUUGCAAAAGACUUCUGAAGGUAUGUUCAAAUGAAAAUAUAUUUGAGCUAAUUAAUUUAGAUCAGCAUGGACUCUUAACAUAGCCGAAUAUGAGCUGGAACAUAUUUUUUAAAUUACUGGAAUGUUUUCUGGACGAUUAUUCAUCAUGACAUCCUAUCUUUGGAAUUUUGUCUUCAUUUCCAGCUGGCUUAUACCACUCUCCUUUCUCACCUCUCAGCCCUUCCAUCCCCUGGCUUGCCCUACACUUGCCCCUCGAUGGACCCAGUUUGCAUGCAGUGGUAGCUGCUGUGGGGCUGCGGUUAAAUAGAAGUGCUCAGACUGCAACAGGAAAGCACUGAAUCGAAAGCAAAGGAGAGGAAGCACAAACCGAUACCCACCACAAAGCUGCUGAGUGCCCAGCAUGACCCAAGCCACACCCUCUGAUGAGGAGCCUUGUGGAGGAGUGAAGAAGCCACAGAGUUUAAUAAAUCAUCAGCACAGCCCGUCCUCCACUUCCCCUAAUCCAGCCUUCCUGGGUCACCCGUGAAUGUCCCCAGGGCUGGCCUAAGAAGGUUGGUGAUGACAGCAAAGCCACCAGAGAGGUAGAGGUUGAGGGAAAGUCCCUGAAAUGAAUGACUGUGUACCAUUCAUCUCGGACUCUCCACCUGGUCUAGCCCUAUGAGUGGUUCUAAGGAGCUCUCUGCAUGGGAUGAUCCCCAGAUGAAGGCCCUCGUGUUCCCUACAAGUCCUUUGGCUACCGGCCCCAAAAGAAGCUGUUUCUACUGGGGGCCGAAACUUUUUUUUUUGUAAACAAUAAUAAAGUCCCUACGAGAUACAGUUUGAGAACUUGAAGUUCACAUUUAUGUACAAAUGGCUAUUUUCAGAUUCUUUCCUGGCUUCAGUAGAGAGAGCAGGAAGGAGAAAGAGAUGGCACGUCAAAGAAAGAGUGGCAGAUGGGAGGAAGGUUCUUCCAGUUAUCUCCUGGGUUCUGGCUUCACCUCUGAUACUUACAAGGCAACAACCAAAAAGGAGACGUCAGCAGUUCUCAACUUGUAACUGUAACCUUGUACCCGUGUGGCUCUGAGCCCAGGGAGGAGGCAGUGGCUGGAGACUCCCUGCUCUGGAAAGCUAGCGGUUUUGUUUUCUUCUGGUUGCCACCCUGAGGCAGAGGAGAGGAGGAUGUUUGGGUUUGCAGGCCGCCUGGCCACUGUCAGCAAGUUUGCAACCCUGGCCUCACUUCCCUGAAGCUGGGGGUUGGGGGGGGGUCAGCUGCCCUGGCCUCCCUCCAAUAAAGGAGCCGUAGAGGAUUCAAAUACCCCUUCCGUUGCAAGGCUCUGACUUUACCCUGAAAACUGACGAUCUCAUCUGGGAAGGGUCAGUUUAAAAAAAUGACCGAAUGGCCCAAAAUAAACAGAGGGAACAACCACAACAAAAACUUUCUCUGCAAUGUUUCCUUAUAAUUACUGGCCCAGCCCACCAGAACUCUGGCGGGAGUCCCCGUCCACUGUCACUGUGGCCCCCACAUGGCCUUGUCUGAGUGAACCCCAGCUGACCCGAGCAGUACCCUGCCCUGUUCGCCAGCCCUGCUCCAGCACCUUCCUCGGACAGCAGGGAGAGUCCAGACUGCAGCAUGUUUUGAGGAUGGAGUUUGGGAACAGUCAAUAGAAGUACAGCUCAUUUACUAGGAUCCCUAAGAGACGAGUAAACUCAGCUUAAAUGAUGUGUCCAAAUUCAGAGAGUAAGUGUGGGGCAAAAUGGGCCUCCUUAUUCUUUACCUGGUGCUCUUUCCAGAUUCAUACACUGUUGUAGAGGGAUCCAACAUAGGGGGGUUAACUUUAAAGUUCUGUUUCUCCACCUUUUCUUUCCAACCAAAUCCUACUUUGUUGACCAGGGCUGUUUCAAAAAGCGUAUUUUGAAUUUUGACUUGAGGACAAUGACUAAAUCUUACACAAUGUGUAAUGGUACCUUGUGUGCACCUCAGAGUUUGUGUUACCUAGUUGCCCCCUAGAGCAGCACUGUGAGGUUAGCAGUAAGCAGAGUGGGUAAGGUAUGGGCUUAGUUUCCAUGCCUGCAAAAUGGGAACGGAAAUGGCAUCUACUUCAUUGUGUUGUCAUGAGGAUUUCAUGGAACAAUACAUGUAACGCACAAUGAAAAUCCCAGCAAAUGUUAGAAAUUGUUAAUAUCCCAGGAGUCUUUUUUUUAAAAAAAAGGUUUUAUUUAUUUAUUUGAGAGAGAGCAAGAGAUAGUACCAGUGGG